CAAUUGAGACAGGUGGUGCAUGGUUGUCGUCAGCUCGUGUCGUGAGAUGUUGGGUUAAGUCCCGCAACGAGCGCAACCCUUUGUGUUUAGUUGCAAACAGGUCAAGCUGUGCACUCUAGACAGACUGCCGUGGACAACACGGAGGAAGGUGGGGAUGACGUCAAAUCAUCAUGCCCCUUAUGAUCUGGGCUACACACGUGCUACAAUGGCCGGUACAACGGGCAGCGAAGGAGCGAUCCGGAGCGAAUCCUAAAAAGCCGGUCCCAGUUCGGAUUGCAGGCUGAAACUCGCCUACAUGAAGUUGGAGUUGCUAGUAAUCGCGAAUCAGAAUGUCGCGGUGAAUGCGUUCCCGGGUCUU
This 358-nucleotide ribosomal RNA is filed under the name uncultured Fusibacter sp. RNAcentral describes it as "bacterial SSU rRNA". It matches the Rfam family "Bacterial small subunit ribosomal RNA", at positions 1026 to 1382 of the family's 1533-position model. Lineage: Bacteria; Bacillati; Bacillota; Clostridia; Eubacteriales; Fusibacteraceae. The record is from RNAcentral.